GACGAACGCUGGCGGCGUGCUUAACACAUGCAAGUCGAACGGAAAGGCCCUGCUUUUGUGGGGUGCUCGAGUGGCGAACGGGGGCGUAACACGUGAGUAACCUGCCCUUGACUUUGGGAUAACUUCAGGAAACUGGGGCUAAUACCGGAUCGGAGCCCCUGCAGCAUGGUGGGGGGUGGAAAGUUUCGGCGGUUGGGGAUGGACUCGCGGCUUAUCAGCUAGUUGGUGGGGUAGUGGCUGACCAAGGCUUUGACGGGUAGCCGGCCUGAGAGGGUGACCGGCCACAUUGGGACUGAGAUACGGCCCAGACUCCUACGGGAGGCAGCAGUGGGGAAUAUUGCACAAUGGGCGGGAGCCUGAUGCAGCAACGCCGCGUGCGGGAUGACGGCCUUCGGGUUGUAAACAGCUUUCGCCUGUGACGAAGCGUGAGUGACGGUAAUGGGUAAAGAAGCACCGGCUAACUACGUG
This 468-nucleotide ribosomal RNA is filed under the name uncultured bacterium. Its description in RNAcentral is "partial 16S ribosomal RNA". It matches the Rfam family "Bacterial small subunit ribosomal RNA", at positions 28 to 507 of the family's 1533-position model. The record is from RNAcentral.